Molecule: ribosomal RNA, 691 nt
Filed under: uncultured Limnohabitans sp.
Lineage: Bacteria; Pseudomonadati; Pseudomonadota; Betaproteobacteria; Burkholderiales; Comamonadaceae
Description: bacterial SSU rRNA
Rfam family: Bacterial small subunit ribosomal RNA
Source: RNAcentral
CGUAGCGAAAGUUACGCUAAUACCGCAUACGAUCUACGGAUGAAAGCGGGGGACUCGCAAGAGCCUCGCGCGAUUGGAGCGGCCGAUAUCAGAUUAGGUAGUUGGUGGGGUAAAGGCUCACCAAGCCAACGAUCUGUAGCUGGUCUGAGAGGACGACCAGCCACACUGGAACUGAGACACGGUCCAGACUCCUACGGGAGGCAGCAGUGGGGAAUUUUGGACAAUGGACGCAAGUCUGAUCCAGCCAUUCCGCGUGCAGGAUGAAGGCCCUCGGGUUGUAAACUGCUUUUGUACGGAACGAAAAGGUCUCUAUUAAUACUAGGGGCUCAUGACGGUACCGUAAGAAUAAGCACCGGCUAACUACGUGCCAGCAGCCGCGGUAAUACGUAGGGUGCAAGCGUUAAUCGGAAUUACUGGGCGUAAAGCGUGCGCAGGCGGUUAUGUAAGACAGAGGUGAAAUCCCCGGGCUCAACCUGGGAACUGCCUUUGUGACUGCAUAGCUAGAGUACGGUAGAGGGGGAUGGAAUUCCGCGUGUAGCAGUGAAAUGCGUAGAUAUGCGGAGGAACACCGAUGGCGAAGGCAAUCCCCUGGACCUGUACUGACGCUCAUGCACGAAAGCGUGGGGAGCAAACAGGAUUAGAUACCCUGGUAGUCCACGCCCUAAACGAUGUCAACUGGUUGUUGGGUCUU